Molecule: long non-coding RNA, 991 nt
Organism: Pseudomyrmex gracilis
Lineage: Eukaryota; Metazoa; Arthropoda; Insecta; Hymenoptera; Formicidae
Exons: 5
Source: RefSeq, a predicted model, not a curated record
UCUCCUCACGGCGCACGAUAUGGUGCUCCGCACUGUACGUACAAUGAAAGCCAAAUGGCCAAAUUUUACAAGUAAUACACGUUAUUAUAAAGCGGUCAUGUUUAUGGAGGAUCCAAAAUCUACUUGGACGCAACAUCAUGCUGACUAUGCAGUAGCAAGAAAAAAAUCGAAAGAAGCCGAAGAACUGUCAGAUUUGAACUCUGACACAGAAAAAGAAGAGAAUCUAAAAAAAGUCAAGGAAAAUUAGAGCCGCUAAAAUCAUAAAUACGUCAGCAAGUAGCUCCGAAGAACUAUCUGACGAUAAAUUUAAUUUCUGAGCUUCCUAAAAUUCCGAUUUCUGUAAAAAAAUCUACAAAAAGUACAAAAAAGAUCCACAAUGUAGUAAAAGUUCUAUCAUUACUGAAGAGAUUCAUUAUGGAAACAAUGAUGACAAUAACUUACUCUCAAUAUCAAGUUCAAACUGGGUUAAAGAAGGAAAUCUACAAUGUAAUGAAAACUUGCUCUAUAAAAAAUGCAGUGGUAAGAAAGAAGACAUCUCAUUAGCUCAUAACAUAAUACCAGAUGUUGAACAAAAAAUUGAUAAUUUCCAACGUUUUACUAUAAGAAAACUAAUAAAUUUAGAAAUGAAAUUAAAUCAAAUUGUAAAUAAUAUGAAAAUAAUGAAUAAUAUGAACACAUCUCUUAAGGCUACCCUGAUAGCCACCUGUUUACGUUUUUGCUGUCAUGUUGCCGAAAACAAAACGCUUGAGUUUUCAGCAAAUUUAAAACAAGGUGAGUUAGGCAUUUGUUUUUGGUUUGACAUGACACGUAUUCAACAUGUGGACCGUUUAUUUUGAAAGUGGUGUAAGUCCAUUUUUCUUUUGUUUCGAGAAACUUAUAGGUUAACAUAUCUGUCAAUUAUGAAUUAUGAAUUACGUGAUAUCUCAUUUUUUUCAAAAAUAGACUUACACCACUUUCAAAAUAAACGGUCCAUGUGUUGCCGACAACUUGC